ACACUCAGUUGAAGAGGAAAACCAUCCCAAUGAAGGAGGACUGGCCUUCAGUCAAGGGUAUACAAGUAGCUGUGGUCCCCUGCUAGAACAAGCUCUCAAAAGAGCACUGCAGAGGUGGACAGAGC
RNAcentral lists this small RNA (125 nucleotides) under Aotus nancymaae (Ma's night monkey). RNAcentral's name for it is "7SK RNA (ENSANAG00000004523.1)". It matches the Rfam family "7SK RNA", at positions 132 to 273 of the family's 331-position model. From Rfam's summary of the family: 7SK was discovered as an abundant small nuclear RNA in the mid-70s but a possible function has only recently been suggested. Two independent studies have found that 7SK RNA binds the CDK9/cyclin T complex (known as elongation factor P-TEFb). Lineage: Eukaryota; Metazoa; Chordata; Mammalia; Primates; Aotidae. The record is from RNAcentral.